UACGGGAGGCAGCAGUGGGGAAUAUUGCACAAUGGGCGCAAGCCUGAUGCAGCCAUGCCGCGUGUAUGAAAAAGGCCUUCGGGUUGUAAAGUACUUUCAGUCGUGAGGAAGGUGUUAAGGUUAAUAACCUUAGCAAUUGACGUUAGCGACAGAAGAAGCACCGGCUAACUCCGUGCCAGCAGCCGCGGUAAUCGGAGGGUGCGAGCGUUAAUCGGAAUUACUGGGCGUAAAGGGCACGCAGGCGGUUAAUUAAGUUGGAUGUGAAAUCCCCGGGCUUAACCUGGGAAUGGCAUUCAAGACUGGUUAGCUAGAGUCUUGUAGAGGGGGUAGAAUUCCAUGUGUAGCGGUGAAAUGCGUAGAGAUGUGGAGGAAUACCGGUGGCGAAGGCGGCCCCUGGACAAAGGACUGACGCUCAUGUGCGAAAGCGUGGGGAGCAAACAGGGAUUAGAUACC
This 453-nucleotide ribosomal RNA is filed under the name uncultured bacterium. Its description in RNAcentral is "bacterial SSU rRNA". It matches the Rfam family "Bacterial small subunit ribosomal RNA", at positions 340 to 786 of the family's 1533-position model. The record is from RNAcentral.